GCGGAUGUGGUGAAAUUGGUAGACACGCUAGACUUAGGAUCUAGUGCCGCGAGGUGUGUGGGUUCGAGUCCCUCCAUCCGCACUA
Molecule: transfer RNA, 85 nt
Filed under: Bacteroidota bacterium
Lineage: Bacteria; Pseudomonadati; Bacteroidota
Description: Bacteroidetes bacterium tRNA-Leu
Rfam family: tRNA
About the family: Transfer RNA (tRNA) molecules are approximately 80 nucleotides in length. Their secondary structure includes four short double-helical elements and three loops (D, anti-codon, and T loops).
Source: RNAcentral